RNAcentral lists this ribosomal RNA (460 nucleotides) under uncultured bacterium. RNAcentral describes it as "partial 16S ribosomal RNA". It matches the Rfam family "Bacterial small subunit ribosomal RNA", at positions 338 to 795 of the family's 1533-position model. The record is from RNAcentral.
CCUACGGGAGGCAGCAGUGAGGAAUAUUGGUCAAUGGACGAGAGUCUGAACCAGCCAAGUAGCGUGAAGGAUGACUGCCCUAUGGGUUGUAAACUUCUUUUAUAAAGGAAUAAAACGAGGCACGUGUGCCUUUUUUCAUGUACUUUAUGAAUAAGGAUCGGCUAACUCCGUGCCAGCAGCCGCGGUAAUACGGAGGAUCCGAGCGUUAUCCGGAUUUAUUGGGUUUAAAGGGAGCGUAGAUGGGUUGUUAAGUCAGUUGUGAAAGUUUGCGGCUCAACCGUAAAAUUGCAAUUGAUACUGGCAGUCUUGAGUACAGUAGAGGUAGGCGGAAUUCGUGGUGUAGCGGUGAAAUGCUUAGAUAUCACGAAGAACCCCGAUUGCGAAGGCAGCUUACUAAACUGUGACUGACAUUGAUGCUCGAAAGUGUGGGUAUCAAACAGGAUUAGAUACCCUUGUAGUC